CCUACGGGUGGCAGCAGUGAGGAAUAUUGGUCAAUGGACGAGAGUCUGAACCAGCCAAGUAGCGUGAAGGAUGACUGCCCUAUGGGUUGUAAACUUCUUUUAUAUGGGAAUAAAAUGUUCCACGUGUGGGAUUUUGUAUGUACCAUAUGAAUAAGGAUCGGCUAACUCCGUGCCAGCAGCCGCGGUAAUACGGAGGAUCCGAGCGUUAUCCGGAGUUAUUGGGUUUAAAGGGAGCGUAGGUGGAUUGUUAAGUCAGUUGUGAAAGUUUGCGGCUCAACCGUAGAAUUGCAGUUGAAACUGGCAGUCUUGAGUGCAGUAGAGGCAGGCGGAAUUCGUGGUGUAGCGGUGAAAUGCGUAGAUAUCACGAAGAACACCGAUGGCGAAGGCAGCCCACUGGGCUGCAACUGACACUGAGGCUCGAAAGUGUGGGUAGCAAACAGGAUUAGAUACCCGGGUAGUC
This 460-nucleotide ribosomal RNA is filed under the name uncultured bacterium. RNAcentral describes it as "partial 16S ribosomal RNA". It matches the Rfam family "Bacterial small subunit ribosomal RNA", at positions 338 to 795 of the family's 1533-position model. The record is from RNAcentral.